RNAcentral lists this ribosomal RNA (429 nucleotides) under Chloroflexota bacterium. RNAcentral's name for it is "Chloroflexi bacterium partial 16S ribosomal RNA". It matches the Rfam family "Bacterial small subunit ribosomal RNA", at positions 355 to 776 of the family's 1533-position model. Lineage: Bacteria; Bacillati; Chloroflexota. The record is from RNAcentral.
UGGGGAAUAUUGCACAAUGGGCGCAAGCCUGAUGCAGCCAUGCCGCGUGUGUGAAGAAGGCCUUCGGGUUGUAAAGCACUUUCAGCGGGGAGGAAGGCGAUAAGGUUAAUAACCUUGUCGAUUGACGUUACCCGCAGAAGAAGCACCGGCUAACUCCGUGCCAGCAGCCGCGGUAAUACGGAGGGUGCAAGCGUUAAUCGGAAUUACUGGGCGUAAAGCGCACGCAGGCGGUUGAUUGAGUCAGAUGUGAAAUCCCCGGGCUUAAACCGGGAAUUGCAUCUGAUACUGGUCAGCUAGAGUCUUGUAGAGGGGGGUAGAAUUCCAUGUGUAGCGGUGAAAUGCGUAGAGAUGUGGAGGAAUACCGGUGGCGAAGGCGGCCCCCUGGACAAAGACUGACGCUCAGGUGCGAAAGCGUGGGGAGCAAACAGG